This 74-nucleotide transfer RNA is filed under the name Acidobacteriota bacterium. Its description in RNAcentral is "tRNA-Leu". It matches the Rfam family "tRNA". Rfam says of the family: Transfer RNA (tRNA) molecules are approximately 80 nucleotides in length. Their secondary structure includes four short double-helical elements and three loops (D, anti-codon, and T loops). Lineage: Bacteria; Pseudomonadati; Acidobacteriota. The record is from RNAcentral.
GCGCGUGUAGCCCAACGGCAGAGGCGACGGUUUUAAACAUCAUUCAAAUAAGAGUUCAAAUCUUUUCACGCGCA